UUCCAGAAAGCGAUAAAAAGAAAGUCCAAAACAGCGUAGAAAAAGAAAAUCGAAGACAGCGAGAAAAAUAAGAUCGAAGAGAUUUUUUUUUAUGAGAGUUGUCACCUAAUUUCUAAGGAGUUGAGGUCAUUCCUUUCUCUUGCCUUUUGGGUAGAAGAAGGGUAUUGUUUUAGUUUGUUAUCGUUGUCUGAUCUUCGAUUUUUCUUAUCAUGGGUGGAUGUCAAGUCAACUUUCAUUUAUUUGUUUUGUUAUUUGAUAUAUUUUUCUUGCAGGUUCUUAUUAUUUGUUUGUGAGGGUUCUUUUCGGAACCUGUUAUAAAAUUGCUCUUAGUCGACUUGCUAAAAAGGGUUUUCGAUACUUUGAUUUGAGUAUUUCAGGACCAUACUGAUACGUCAUGUGGUUUUCGCUUUCGUAGGCCAUAGAUCAGUCGUGAGCUUUACUACAUCUCCUCUAUGCCGUGUGUUGCCAAAUCAUAGCUCUUUUGGCUUUAUCUAGGGAUCCUUCUGAUUUUUCCUUUUAUCUUGCAUGUCUGAUUUUUCUGUUCUUUCUUGUUGUUUUGAUUGAAUCUUUUUCUAUUUUGAUUUUUGAUAGAUUUCCUAUUGUUUUGCUGAUUGUCAACGUCAUCAACAUGUUGUCAUUGAUGCAGUGAUUGAUCGAUAAUGGUAGAGUGAAGCUGUGGUGUGGUGUGGGGUGUUAGGGGAUUGGUGAUAGCUGUUGAAGGUUAUUGGUUUUGGCUUCUUUGUUUUCAAUUUGAUUUUCUUUGGUUUGUCUGAGUGGUUUGAUUCUAUUGUGAAUUUAUUUUCUUUUGGAUUUUUGUCUUAGUGUGUACCCAUUUAUAUUUAGCCUACUAAACUUUGAAAAUACAUAUUCUCUUGCAUUGUAAGAAAAAGAAAACUAAAUUAUAGUUAAUAAUUGCUCAUGUACUAAGGCAGGAAACCUUAGUGAAAAGAUUUCAGAUGGAUAUAAAGGGCCUUUAGUAUUGAUC
RNAcentral lists this long non-coding RNA (985 nucleotides) under Manihot esculenta (cassava). RNAcentral describes it as "long non-coding RNA (MESC_LNC001393)". The record is from RNAcentral. Lineage: Eukaryota; Viridiplantae; Streptophyta; Magnoliopsida; Malpighiales; Euphorbiaceae.